RNAcentral lists this transfer RNA (76 nucleotides) under Deltaproteobacteria bacterium. Its description in RNAcentral is "tRNA-Glu". It matches the Rfam family "tRNA". Rfam says of the family: Transfer RNA (tRNA) molecules are approximately 80 nucleotides in length. Their secondary structure includes four short double-helical elements and three loops (D, anti-codon, and T loops). The record is from RNAcentral. RNAcentral also lists the same sequence under 1 other name. Lineage: Bacteria; Pseudomonadati; Myxococcota; Myxococcia.
GGUCCCAUCGUCUAGCGGUCUAGGACGCCGGCCUCUCACGCCGGUAACACGGGUUCGAUCCCCGUUGGGACUACCA